GGUGAACCUGCGGAAGGUACAUUA
Molecule: ribosomal RNA, 24 nt
Filed under: Debaryomyces hansenii
Lineage: Eukaryota; Fungi; Ascomycota; Pichiomycetes; Serinales; Debaryomycetaceae
Description: partial small subunit ribosomal RNA
Source: RNAcentral